RNAcentral lists this microRNA precursor (183 nucleotides) under Eugenia uniflora (Surinam cherry). RNAcentral describes it as "miR530 stem-loop (eun-MIR530)". Its record names the gene eun-MIR530. The record is from miRBase by way of RNAcentral. Lineage: Eukaryota; Viridiplantae; Streptophyta; Magnoliopsida; Myrtales; Myrtaceae.
AAGGUGCAGCCUUUAUCUGCAUUUGCACCUGCACCUCAAAUUGCUUUCGGUUCUUCCCUGCGCAUGUCUGCCGAGAUUUGUGGGUAUAAGAAGAGGGUUGUUCAGGGAGAAGAAGAACGUAGCGCAGGUGAAGGAGCAGAGGGCUUGGAAGGUGCGGGUGCAGGUGCAGAUGAAUGCCAUUUU